UUCUUAUCCAGAGAGGUGGAGGGACUGGCCCUUUGAAGCCUCAGCAACAGGUCUGUUAAGAUACUGUGCUAAUUCCAGCGGGUGUUUCAAACCCUGAUAGAUAGGAG
Molecule: non-coding RNA, 107 nt
Filed under: Rossellomorea vietnamensis
Lineage: Bacteria; Bacillati; Bacillota; Bacilli; Caryophanales; Bacillaceae
Description: Bacillus vietnamensis SAM-I sequence
Rfam family: SAM riboswitch aptamer (S box leader)
About the family: The SAM riboswitch is found upstream of a number of genes which code for proteins involved in methionine or cysteine biosynthesis in Gram-positive bacteria. The SAM riboswitch acts at the level of transcription termination control. The predicted structure consists of a complex stem-loop region followed by a single stem loop terminator region.
Source: Rfam by way of RNAcentral